Molecule: unclassified non-coding RNA, 2653 nt
Filed under: Hevea brasiliensis (rubber tree)
Lineage: Eukaryota; Viridiplantae; Streptophyta; Magnoliopsida; Malpighiales; Euphorbiaceae
Source: RNAcentral
GAAAAUUGGAGGAAGAAACGAUCUUUACUGAUACAAGAGAUCAGCGCGUUGGGCUGCUUCAGGUUCAGGGGAUAGGCCAGUUAUAUAUUCAAAACGUGUUACGAAAAGCCCGCACGCUAAAACCUCCUGAUCUGGAUGAGCGACAAAAACCCUAAAACCUAAAACCAACCUUUCCUUCAUUGGCACUUGAGCAUGGACGACACUCAAGUCGAAGCAGGAGACAACAACAGAGACAUUGAGGUGGCUCCGGCCUUGAUUAGUGUUCAUCCCAACCAGAAUUCCGUCGCAGUCGCCGUCGGAUCGGACCUCCGCAUCUUCGACCUCCGAGGGGGUUGCGGGGUAUCUUUGGUGGAUGAUUCUGCUCAGCCUUUUCAUAAGGAUUCAAUAAGAGCUAUUCGCUAUAGUGCAAAUGGGAAGCUUCUUGUAUCAGCCGCUGAUGAUAAGCUUGUCAAGAUAUGGUCUACCGACUCUUGGCGCUGCGUUAGUUCCGUUUGCUCAGAGAAAAGAGUGAGUGCAGUUGCUAUAAGCGAGGAUGGGUUGUAUGUUUGUUUUGCUGAUAAGUUUGGAGUUGUUUGGGUUGUGGAUUUGCAUGAGCUUGAAGGAAAUGAAUCUUUAGUCAGUAGAAAGGCUGCACCUUUGCUUGCUCAUUAUUGCAGCAUCAUCACUAGCCUGGAAUUUUCACCAGAUGGACAGUUUAUCGUUAGUGCAGAUCGUGACUUUAAGAUUCGUGUUACUGUGUUUCCAAAGAAGCCCUUAGAUGGAGCUCAUGAGAUACAAAGCUUUUGCCUUGGUCAUACAGAGUUUGUCUCCUGCCUUGCCUUUAUUUGCACGAUGGAUUACCCUCAGGGGUUUCUUGUUUCUGGCAGUGGUGAUUCUACAGUUCGCUUGUGGGAUAUUACAUCUGGGUUUCUUCUUGAUACUUGUGAAGUUGGUGCUAAGGCAGGACUUCUAGAGUCCAAUAGAAGUGAUGAGGGCUGUUCUACUGUCUCUGAUCUGUGCAUAAUUCUAGAUGGUAAUCUCAUUGCAGUGGCCAUCCAAAGGCAAGUUUCUAAGCACUCUGCAUUUCUUUUUAAUCCUUUUUCUUUAUUGAAAUGUAAGCCUGUUGAUUCAAUGUAUUAAUCUACAUAUAUCUUAUGUUAGCUUGCAAGGAAUAAUGCUGUUACACUGUGACCUUUCUUCCCGAACUCUCAAUGUCAUCAAGGUAAGGAUCACAACUGAUAUUUUAAAACUUGGACCAGAUGGGCUGGUUCCACUGGAAAGCUUAGUAACCUGACAGGUUUUCUGGUUCUGUUUAUUAUUAAACCAGAGAAGAGAACCCAUCUAAGAAGCAGUAACUGUCUGGUUGAACCAUGAACUGGUCAGCCUGGUCAAGUAUUGAGACGGUCAGGCCUGUUCAUUGCUGGUAGUUGCGGCAGAACCAGAAGUCACAUUUACCAAAUUAAAAAUUUUUGAAAUGAAAUGUGCAUCAGUGGAGAUAGAACUCUGAAACCUCAAGUCAGAAAGGAGUAACAUGAACUAGUGCACCUAAAUCCAAUUGUGAUUAAAUGCCAAUUUUUAAUAUUUUUAUUUUGAGCUAGAAAAUAAUACCAUUAAUCUGGAAAAAAAAUUUCAUUCAUCCAUUUUAUUAAUUAGGCUUAUCCUAAGAAGUACAAUGGGUUUUUUUUAAUAAAAAUGGUAAUGACUUUAACUUACCAUUAGCAAUAAAAUAUAUUCUAAACCCUAAAAUUUCAAUUAUCAUUCUGGUGUUAGUGUAGUAAUCUUAAUGGACAUCACUGAUUCCUUUGUCCAGUUCUUCAGCUCUCAUCUUUUUUGCCAUCUAUACAGCUGAAUAGAUGCUAUUUUUUAGUUUGUAAAAUUUUGAAUUCCUUGGAGACGCAUUUACUUGAUAUUUGCAUUGAUGUCCAUCUGCAAUGAAUUUGAAAAAUCUUUGGCUGAAUCUGAAUAUUAAAUUCUGAGCAUAUAUGUAUAAGCAUGAAGUACACGACAUAGAUAAGGUUUUUCUAUUUCCUGCUGAUGUGACUCUUAUAGGUGGUUUCUAUCAUGGGAGAGAGCUUCAUUCCUACAAGCCUGGGGAGUAGCUCUCAUGCAGAAUUACUAUGGAUGGUAACUGGUGUCUCUAAAUUGAGUGGUUCUGAUUGCAACUCUUUGGCUCGAGUGAGGGUUCUUUCUGGUUUUAAGAAAAGUAAUCCUGAUUCUGUUGGCCAUGAGUUAACUGUGAUGAGAGAUGAUGAACUACCUGGAGCAGAGAAACUACUAGAGAAGUUGCAGGGAAGUGUGUCACUUGAGGAGAAUGUUUUUUUAGCAGCCGCUGAAGCUGUGAAAACAGCAAUGUGUAAUUUGUUAAUUAAGAAGCAGUACUCCAUGGAGAAGAGAGAAUUUAGAAAGAGAAGUAGAAAUGAUAGGAAAAUCAAACAAUGAUAGACUCAACAGUUGUAACAACUAGUUCUCUCUGCUGAUUCAUGGGUUGGAGGCAUCUGAGCUUAAUUUAUUUUUGUAGUUGUCUUAGAUAGCCCUUCUAAUCUGUUAUUUCUUGUACAAUAAUAUUAGUAAACUUAAAACUCUCAUGAGAAGCUACACAAAUCAUUUGCAGCUUUCAUGGUUGAAAUUGAGAGGAAAUGAUACUUGUUAUGAUUUCUGAGAGAUUCAAUUCUUU